CGUCGACAAAAAAAUAAAAAAGUUGUCGAAGGAAGUCAGGGAAACGAAGAAGCUGAUUGAAGCCAAAUUUCGGCACUGGGACGAAAGCUUUUUAGCAUUAAGGCAUUUUUGCGAAGAAAGCUUUGGCCAGGUGAUGGCAAGUUUGGCUUCCAUCCGCGACUUCGUCGAGGAGCAGGAGGCUUCCGACUAUCCUGAAAAGCCUGCCUGACUCCCCCUCAAAAAAAUACGAGACUUGGAGAUUUUCGAAACUUUGACUGCGAAGGAGCAUCGCGAUGUCGUCACCUACCUUAGUCACCUAGGGGGUUCGGAUGCCAAUGUCUGUGCGAGCCUCAUGCUUAAGGAGGCGAUGCACGAGAGAUUGGCUCCGAAGGUGAACUAUCAUGGUAGGCACCAGGGGACGUUUGCUUUAGAGCAAACCAAAUUUGUCAAGGUCCUUUACAAGGCAAUGGGUAAGACACUUCGACGUCCAUCGAUUCCGUUAACGGAAUUUUCAGCGGCGGUUACAUCUGCACUCCGUGCGGCAAAACAGCGCCGCCGGAAUAAGAAGAAUCGCCGCCAAAAUCCCGUCUUACCAGCCAUGGACCUUGACAACCCUGGUUAAAAUGGCGACUCGCGAUGUAUUAAAGUGCGUCCAAAAUAUAUA
Venturia canescens is the source of this 643-nucleotide long non-coding RNA. RefSeq lists it as uncharacterized. NCBI's taxonomy places the organism in Eukaryota, Metazoa, Arthropoda, Insecta, Hymenoptera, Ichneumonidae. The transcript is spliced from 4 exons. The record is from RefSeq and is a predicted model, not a curated record.